GACGAACGCUGGCGGCGUGCUUAACACAUGCAAGUCGAACGGAAAGGCCCUGCUUUUGUGGGGUGCUCGAGUGGCGAACGGGUGAGUAACACGUGAGUAACCUGCCCUUGACUUUGGGAUAACUUCAGGAAACUGGGACUAAUACCGGAUAGGAGCUCCUGCUGCAUGGUGGGGGUUGGAAAGUUUCGGCGGUUGGGGAUGGACUCGCGGCUUAUCAGCUUGUUGGUGGGGUAGUGGCUUACCAAGGCUUUGACGGGUAGCCGGCCUGAGAGGGUGACCGGCCACAUUGGGACUGAGAUACGGCCCAGACUCCUACGGGAGGCAGCAGUGGGGAAUAUUGCACAAUGGGCUGAAGCCUGAUGCAGCAACGCCGCGUGCGGGAUGACGGCCUUCGGGUUGUAAACCGCUUUCGCCUGUGACGAAGCGUGAGUGACGGUAAUGGUUAAAGAAGCACCGGCUAACUACGUG
Molecule: ribosomal RNA, 468 nt
Filed under: uncultured bacterium
Lineage: Bacteria
Description: partial 16S ribosomal RNA
Rfam family: Bacterial small subunit ribosomal RNA
Source: RNAcentral